This 434-nucleotide ribosomal RNA is filed under the name uncultured bacterium. Its description in RNAcentral is "partial 16S ribosomal RNA". It matches the Rfam family "Bacterial small subunit ribosomal RNA", at positions 29 to 507 of the family's 1533-position model. The record is from RNAcentral.
AGCGAACGCUGGCGGCAGGCCUAACACAUGCAAGUCGAACGAGGCUUACGGGGAGAGUGACGAACGGGUGAGUAACACGUGGGAACGUGCCUUUAGGUGGGGAAUAACUCAGGGAAACUUGUGCUAAUACCGAAUGUGCCCUUCGGGGGAAAGAUUUAUCGCCUUGAGAGCGGCCCGCGUCUGGUUAGCGAGUUGGUUGAGGCAAUGGCUCACCAAGGCGACGAUCAGUAGCUGGUCUGAGAGGAUGAUCAGCCACAGUGGGAAUGAGACACGGCCCAAACUCCUACGGGAGGCAGCAGCCGCGAAUCUUGCGCAAUGGGCGAACGCCUGCCCCAUCCAUGCCGCGUGAAUGAUGAAGGUCUUAUGAUUGUAAAACUCUUUCUCCGGGUACGCUAAUGAGGGUCCCCGGAGAAGAAGCCCCGGCUAACCUCGUG